ACAUCAGCCGCCGCGGUAAUACGGAGGGUGCAAGCGUUAUCCGGAUUUAUUGGGUUUAAAGGGUCCGUAGGCGGAUCUGUAAGUCAGUGGUGAAAUCUCACAGCUUAACUGUGAAACUGCCAUUGAUACUGCAGGUCUUGAGUAAAUUUGAAGUGGCUGGAAUAAGUAGUGUAGCGGUGAAAUGCAUAGAUAUUACUUAGAACACCAAUUGCGAAGGCAGGUCACUAAGAUUUAACUGACGCUGAUGGACGAAAGCGUGGGGAGCGAACAGGAUUAGAUACCCCAGUAGUCCCUGUCUCUUAUAC
RNAcentral lists this ribosomal RNA (305 nucleotides) under uncultured bacterium. RNAcentral describes it as "partial 16S ribosomal RNA". It matches the Rfam family "Bacterial small subunit ribosomal RNA", at positions 505 to 807 of the family's 1533-position model. The record is from RNAcentral.